UGCUAGAUCGUAACUGACGUUGAGGCUCGAAAGUAUGGGUAGCAAACGGGAUUAGAUACCCCGGUAGUCCAUACCGUAAACGAUGGGUGCUAGUUGUUAAGAGGUUUCCGCCUCCUAGUGACGUAGCAAACGCAUUAAGCACCCCGCCUGAGGAGUACGGCCGCAAGGCUAAAACUUAAAGGAAUUGACGGGGACCCGCACAAGCGGUGGAGCAUGUGGUUUAAUUCGAAGAUACGCGAAAAACCUUACCAGGUCUUGACAUACCAAUGAUCGCUUUUGUAAUGAAAGCUUUUCUUCGGAACAUUGGAUACAGGUGGUGCAUGGUCGUCGUCAGCUCGUGUCGUGAGAUGUUGGGUUAAGUCCCGCAACGAGCGCAACCCUUGUUAUUAGUUGCCAGCAUUUAGUUGGGCACUCUAAUGAGACUGCCGGUGAUAAACCGGAGGAAGGUGGGGACGACGUCAGAUCAUCAUGCCCCUUAUGACCUGGGCAACACACGUGCUACAAUGGGAAGUACAACGAGUCGCAAACCGGCGACGGUAAGCUAAUCUCUUAAAACUUCUCUCAGUUCGGACUGGAGUCUGCAACUCGACUCCACGAAGGCGGAAUCGCUAGUAAUCGCGAAUCAGCAUGUCGCGGUGAAUACGUUCCCGGGUCUUGUACACACCGCCCGUCAAAUCAUGGGAGUCGGAAGUACCCAAAGUCGCUUGGCUAACUUUUAGAGGCCGGUGCCUAAGGUAAAAUCGAUGACUGGGAUUAAGUCGUAACAAGGUAGCCGUAGGAGAACCUGCGGCUGGAUCACCUCCUUUCUAAGGA
Molecule: ribosomal RNA, 813 nt
Filed under: Oenococcus oeni
Lineage: Bacteria; Bacillati; Bacillota; Bacilli; Lactobacillales; Lactobacillaceae
Description: bacterial SSU rRNA
Rfam family: Bacterial small subunit ribosomal RNA
Source: RNAcentral